This is a non-coding RNA of Oryzias latipes (Japanese medaka), 2101 nucleotides long. Lineage: Eukaryota; Metazoa; Chordata; Actinopteri; Beloniformes; Adrianichthyidae. The record is from RefSeq and is a predicted model, not a curated record.
UGUUUGACUGGACACUCGUACCUUCUGGGCCGCAAGAGGAGGCCUGACUCCGGCCACGGCGUGUUGGUCCUGAGAUGACGCAUCUUGCUGCACGUGCGCACGGACACAGUCGCAGCUGCAAAGCAGCGACGCAUAAAUGAGUUUGAGCCAGCAAACAUAAAGUUCCCCGAGCCUUUUACAUCACAGAGAUACUGUACCCGGGAGCCCCCCCGUCUGUCCCAUCAGAGGAUGGGAGCUGAGGGCAGAUGGGAACAGAGGGGCUCCGCUCUGCCCCUCUCAUGUCUGCUUUCUCUCUCUUGCGUUUCUCGCCGCACUUUUUCAUUCCUCACGGCGUGUUUGCUUUACAGCCGUUUAGUUCUUAACCUUCAGAAAUUUAUACGCUAUAAACUUUUAUUGCCGUCAUAUUCUUUUAUUGCACCGCGCUGCACUGAAUCCCCCCCUCCUCUCCUCUUCCUCUCCGGCUUCCUCUUCGGUUGUUUUUACGACAGUCGGCUGUGGAUACUUCCAACGCGUCCUCAUCGCUCAUCACGUCCCGCUCCCUCUGCAUGUUUUUGAGACGCCCUGCCCCGAUGCGCGCGGCACAUCCUGCUCCUCUCGUGCUGCGUGUUUCCGUGCGUGGAACCGGUCGAGGAAGUGUGCAAAACAGCUGACGCGAGGAAGAAGAAAAAGGAGCAGGGAAGGCUGUCAGAGCUCGGGUUAUAAGCCUAAAGGGACAAAUAAUGUUGUGUUUUCAACUUUUCUUCCUAUCUUUUUUUUUGAAAAGCAUAGAAGUAAAGAAAUUCAAAAAAGUCUGUCGGCCUGUUCUGAAUGCGCCGUUUCCGGCAGAAACCUCCAUGUGCACGAGAGACCUUAACCGGGAGAUCCAGCAACGCAGCUCUGACGAGUUCUUCCUCACAGCUACAGGCCUUCGUGGUUUCUUCAUGGAUGACUUUGGCUGCAGUUGGAGCGGCAGCGACGCGCACGCGCAGCAGAUAGUCUGCUUGACAUCUCUCGACACACGUGCACAACAGCCUUCGGAUCACAUUCCAGCUAUUAAUAAGUGCGGAGCGGAUGUGAAGUGAUCAGAGCAGCGGCUCUGCUCUCAUGUGCGGGACUGACUCCCGCAGAGGAAUACGGAUGAGGCCGAUCAUGAUCAAAGCCGAGUUCCAUGCACGACAUGUCACGCUGCCUGCGCGCCCACGUCUUCCUUCAAGCAUAGAUGCCCAAGUGGGCUGCUUUAGCGUGAUUAUCUGCUUUUCGCAGCACGUGGGCGUCCAGUGCGCGCGCUUUAUGUACUGAUACUGUAACGUGACCGGCGGGGUUUCGCUCCAGCGGCAGUAUCCCGCCGGAUCCCACAGCCGCCGAGGCCGCGUAGUGGGGACAACUCCAGCGGUCACCCGUUCCCACGUAAGUCCCGGCCAACGCCGGAAAGGACGUUUUUGGGUACAUACCAGGCUCACAAACUUGCCAUUUACAAGAAAGCUUUUUGAUGACGUCAUCAUGUGAUGUUCAAAAGAGAGAAUACAACCCCCAUUGAUAAAAAUAUCCCAAGUUGGAUUAAUUUUUUAACCCAACUUCAAGGUUUGAAAGAGACUGACCUUUUCUCUGGUUUACUUCAACCCAGGAAAUAAAAGGGUUUUACCACCAUAACCAUAAAAAUUAGGAAUGUUCAAGAAAAUAAUCCAAAAUACAUAAACCCAAGGUUGGGUGUAGGAAAUAAUGAAUGUGUUUUAAGAGUGACAUAUGUAUACUUUUUAUUUGUAGAUGCUUUUUAUGACAGAUCCUUUCUAAACAAAUCAUUUAAACAUAACGUGAAUACAGUUUAUGAAGUGCACUUUUAUUGUAAGGGCUGAAUUCCAGUUUUAAGAACAUGUUGACACUUUUGGAUUUUUUGUGACCAAUGCAUUUAAUGAAGUCCACCUUUUUUGUAUUCUUUUCUCUCUAUAUUUAUAGGCUAUUACAUGUUCUAUAGUUUGUUUCUUCAAAUUAUGAUCACAGAUUUGAUUAAUUCUAACAACAUGUCAACGAAACCAUCCUGCAUUUGUUCUUUCAGUCAUUUUUUUUACUUAACAAACAGCUUUUAAAAUAGGAUUGUCCUAAAAUAAACGUUAAUAAAAAACUA